This 650-nucleotide ribosomal RNA is filed under the name Calidifontibacter sp. enrichment culture clone SB6. RNAcentral's name for it is "bacterial SSU rRNA". It matches the Rfam family "Bacterial small subunit ribosomal RNA", at positions 79 to 742 of the family's 1533-position model. Lineage: Bacteria; Bacillati; Actinomycetota; Actinomycetes; Micrococcales; Dermacoccaceae. The record is from RNAcentral.
UUGCUGUGGUGGAUUAGUGGCGAACGGGUGAGUAACACGUGAGUAACCUGCCCUUCACUCUGGGAUAAGCCUUGGAAACGAGGUCUAAUACUGGAUAUUCAUUCAUGAUCGCAUGGUUGUGGGUGGAAAGAUUUUUUGGUGGGGGAUGGACUCGCGGCCUAUCAGCUUGUUGGUGAGGUAGUGGCUUACCAAGGCUUUGACGGGUAGCCGGCCUGAGAGGGUGACCGGCCACACUGGGACUGAGACACGGCCCAGACUCCUACGGGAGGCAGCAGUGGGGAAUAUUGCACAAUGGGCGAAAGCCUGAUGCAGCGACGCCGCGUGAGGGAUGACGGCCUUCGGGUUGUAAACCUCUUUCACCAGGGACGAAGCGGAAGUGACGGUACCUGGAGAAGAAGCACCGGCUAACUACGUGCCAGCAGCCGCGGUAAUACGUAGGGUGCGAGCGUUGUCCGGAAUUAUUGGGCGUAAAGAGCUUGUAGGCGGUUUGUCGCGUCUGCUGUGAAAGACCGGGGCUUAACUCCGGUUCUGCAGUGGGUACGGGCAGGCUAGAGUAUGGUAGGGGAGACUGGAAUUCCUGGUGUAGCGGUGAAAUGCGCAGAUAUCAGGAGGAACACCGAUGGCGAAGGCAGGUCUCUGGGCCAUUACUG